Molecule: ribosomal RNA, 811 nt
Filed under: uncultured bacterium
Lineage: Bacteria
Description: bacterial SSU rRNA
Rfam family: Bacterial small subunit ribosomal RNA
Source: RNAcentral
AGAGUUUGAUCAUGGCUCAGAAUUAACGCUGGCGGCAUGCCUAACACAUGCAAGUCGAGCGAGAAACCGCCCUUCGGGGUGGGAGUACAGCGGCGCACGGGUGAGUAGCGCGUGGGUAAUCUACCUCUAUCUGGGGGAUAACACACCGAAAGGUGUGCUAAUACCGCAUAAACUGGCAAACCUGCGGGGAAGUCGGGAAAGAUGGCCUCUUAUUAAAGCUGUCGGAUGGAGAUGAGCCCGCGUCCCAUUAGCUUGUUGGUAGGGUAACGGCCUACCAAGGCGACGAUGGGUAGCUGGUCUGAGAGGACGACCAGCCACACUGGAACUGGAACACGGUCCAGACUCCUACGGGAGGCAGCAGUGAGGAAUAUUGCGCAAUGGGGGAAACCCUGACGCAGCGAUGCCGCGUGGGUGAAGAAGGCUUUCGGGUCGUAAAGCCCUGUCAGGUGGGAAGAACAGUCUCUUAUUGAACAGAUAGGAGGCCUGACGGUACCACCGAAGGAAGCACCGGCUAACUCCGUGCCAGCAGCCGCGGUAAGACGGAGGGUGCAAGCGUUAUUCGGAAUCAUUGGGCGUAAAGAGUGUGUAGGCGGCCGGUUAAGUCAGGUGUGAAAGCCCAGGGCUCAACCCUGGAAGUGCACUUGAAACUGGUCGGCUUGAGUUCGGGAGAGGGUAGCGGAAUUCCUGGUGUAGAGGUGAAAUUCGUAGAUAUCAGGAGGAACACCGGUGGCGAAGGCGGCUACCUGGACCGAAACUGACGCUGAGACACGAAAGCGUGGGGAGCAAACAGGAUUAGAUACCCUAGUAGUCC